Molecule: unclassified non-coding RNA, 287 nt
Filed under: uncultured fungus
Lineage: Eukaryota; Fungi
Description: sequence contains ITS1, 5.8S rRNA gene
Rfam family: 5.8S ribosomal RNA (bases 239-287)
Source: RNAcentral
UCUCCGUUGGUGAACCAGCGGAGGGAUCAUUACAGAGAACAGACGCCGCGCCGGUCCUCCGGGGCCGUCGCGUCUAUGUCCUGCACACUUGUUGUAUUACCGCCUGCCGGGCCGUGUUGCCUCGGCGGGGUGCGCCCUCCGUCCUCCGGGCCGGCGUCCGUGCCCCGCCGCAGGUACCGCCCACAAAAACCUCUGUAAUACUAUAUGGAACCUCUGAGAAAGCUUAUAAAUAAGUCAAAACUUUCAACAACGGAUCUCUUGGUUAUGGCAUCGAUGAAGAACGCAGC